RNAcentral lists this non-coding RNA (46 nucleotides) under Pelobates cultripes (western spadefoot toad). It matches the Rfam family "Histone 3' UTR stem-loop". Rfam says of the family: The mRNAs of metazoan histone genes lack a poly-A tail. 3' end processing occurs at a site between a highly conserved stem-loop (modelled by this family) and a purine rich region around 20 nts downstream (the histone downstream element, or HDE). Lineage: Eukaryota; Metazoa; Chordata; Amphibia; Anura; Pelobatidae. The record is from RNAcentral.
CCAAAGGCUCUUUUCAGAGCCAUUAACAAAAUAACUAUAAUCACUG